Non-coding RNA from Brachypodium distachyon (stiff brome), 125 nucleotides. NCBI's taxonomy places the organism in Eukaryota, Viridiplantae, Streptophyta, Magnoliopsida, Poales, Poaceae. The record is from Rfam.
UAUCUACUCCCUUCGAUCCAUAUCAAUUGUCUCAAAUUUUCCCAAAUAUGGAUGUAUCUAUGCCUAAAAAGCGUUUAGAUACAUGUAAUAUUUUGACAAUUAAUAUGGAUCGGAGGGAGUAGAUC